GAUUUUUACAUUUUUGGACUCAGGACACCUUGAAACGUCGAGAAAUGCAAAGAAAAGAGCAGUGCUCGUAUCUUUAUAGAUGGAAAUCAAAUAGUUUGUUAUGCAAAAUUCUCUUCACCUAGUCUUGUUGGGUAUGAAUACAGUACGACAGAGUCUGAGUACUGAUGUGAAGUUCGCCAAUUACCAGAUUCGUGAUAUUUUUCUCGAGUUGACGUACCUUUCUUACGCAUGGACGACCCUUGACAACGUCUUGUAAAGUAGCACUUUUAAAGGAAGGUGGAGGAACCAGAAAGAAUCCUGAAAUUCCCAACAUCGAUCCUCUCUGGUAUGAAUGCCGCUGGGGUCGAAAGAAAUAGGCUAAUCGAAAUUUCAGUUUCGACUUAUUCGACAGAAUGUCAAAUUUAUUCGGUUGAAGAAAACUUUCAAUUCCUUUCAAAUGAUAUAACUUUCGAUCUUAUUACGUUUAAAAUAUUUAAACUGUGAAUAUUCUAUUUCCAAUCCAUCCGAGUUCAAUAGCGACUCGGAAGUAAGAAUUGAAUUUAAGAUUAAAAAUAAAUAAAUUCAAUUUUACUUUUCAUUACAUAAAGAUCAUAAAGUUAAAUUCGGCAGCAUUUAAAUUUUAAAAUUGCUAUUUAACAAUAAAAUUUAGCGAGUUUUAACGUUCGAAUUUACAUAUUUAAAAUAUAUAUUCAUAUAUAUAUAUAUAUAUAUUAAAAUUUACACUAAACGAAUUAAUAUUUAAAUAAAAACGGGUAUUAAAAAUUUAUUUUUAUGUAGUUAUAGUAAGAAAAUUUCGACUGAAUCUAGCGAAAAAUUAAUAUUGUGAAUAAAUUUCUGUGGUGUGAUAAAAGAUGAAAGACAUUGUGAGGCGGUUAAAUAUCGAGAAAGGAAUGGUUUCUGUAAAUAUCUGUAUAUCUGACGUGACUUGAAGGCAUGCCAACCAGCCGCUUGAAUUGGUCAUUGAGCUCUACUGGCAACUGACAGCUUUCUGAUGGGUUAUGAAGGAAUUUCACCGAUCCAGAACCUCUCGAUUGCUUAAGCAAACAAUUCUAAGAACGUCACACACAAAAUGAAUUUAAUCUCCAUAUUUUCUCCUAGAAGAGACCGAAAUUUAAUAUUUUACAUUA
Molecule: long non-coding RNA, 1127 nt
Organism: Centruroides sculpturatus (bark scorpion)
Lineage: Eukaryota; Metazoa; Arthropoda; Arachnida; Scorpiones; Buthidae
Exons: 3
Source: RefSeq, a predicted model, not a curated record